This 1728-nucleotide long non-coding RNA is filed under the name Canis lupus familiaris (dog). RNAcentral's name for it is "lncRNA (ENSCAFG00845016501.1)". Lineage: Eukaryota; Metazoa; Chordata; Mammalia; Carnivora; Canidae. The record is from RNAcentral.
UGGGGUGUCCUGUGGCCACUGCCUUUUGCAAGAUGCAGCAGAAUGUUGAAGGCAAAGAGGCAAAGUCCUGACUUUUACAGAAGUCCAGGAAGGGAAUAAUAGCUAUAAGGGAAGAAGAAUAUUAAAGAACCAGGCUCUGAUCCAGAUAAGAAAUUCUAUACGGGAAAGGAGACCUUGAAGGGAAAGGGUUGGAACCAACAGAAUGACUACUGGUCUCCACAGCCUGUCCCGCCACUCCCUAGGCUCACCUGCGGAGGAAGGAGCAGAAGGAGCAGAUGAUGAACAACUCAGUAGGCUUGGGGGGUCCUUGAGCAAAGUGACCCAUGUUUCAAGGACCCAGGGAUGCUGGAAGACAUUCAGAGCACCCCUCCACCCAGCAUGCAUGGAUGAGUGGACUAGAAUGUUCCCCCAUUGUGUCUGGGCCAGUGGACCUGAGACAGCCUCACAGAGAAAACAUGGUACCCUAUGCCAUGGGAUGUUCCCCAUGCCUGAGACAGGUGUGAGGAGCAUCUCACAGGAGUGAGAAGGAUGAAGUAGUGGCCUAUAUAGACCCACAAGGACAAAAGCUGAUAAAAAAGAUGAAUGUUUUAGAGGGUGCCUGGGAACUCCUCCCCUUGACUCCCUCACCCUGAGCUUCAGUGCCUCCAUGCUGUGUAAGCUCCCUGGAAUGGACACUCAAAAGCUUGAAUGGACUGAAAUUUAGUCUCCAUUACUUGGUGAAAUGGGACCUUAAAAUGCAAAAUGAAUUCAAUCAUAGAAAAAUACAUUUGUCACCUUGAGUUUGUGGACUGAGAUUUGUACCUGCCUGAAUUCGGUUCAUUUGCAAAUAUGUUAUUUGUAUAAAUUUUUAAAAAUUAUUACAACUGUGUAAUGACCAAAUAAAACUUGAAACAUGUUUCUAAAGAGCAUUUAUUGAGUGUAAACUCUGUACCAGGUCUGACCUAUUUUCCUUCUUUUUUUUUUUAUGGUUUUAUUUAUUAUUCAUGAGAGACACACAGAGAGAGGCAGACACACAGAGGGAGAAGCAGGUUCCUUGCAAGGAGCCUGAUGUGGGACUUGAUCCUGAGACUCCAGGAUCACACCCUGGACUGAAGGCAGGCGCUCAACAGCUGAGCCACCCAGGCAUCCCUGACCUAUUCUCUUUAUAUACACGAUCUCAUUUAUAUUCCUUAGAAUUCAUAGGUGCAAGUAUCUCCUUUUUGUGUUUAGAGAAACAAAGAUUUAGAGAAGUUAAAAAAAAUUUUUUUAAGUAAACCCUACACACAACAUGGGGCUUAAACUCACAACUCUAAGAUCAAGUAAGUGUCACAUGCUCUACCCACUGAGCCAGCCCGGUGCCCCAAGAGAAGUUAAAUACUUUGCCCAAGGCCACACGUGAUAAAUAAUGGAGACAGAAUUCAAACCCAGGAAUACCUGGCUUUUAAAUCAAUAUUCUUUUUUUUAAGAUCUUAUUUUUAAGUAAUCUCUAUACCCAAUGUGGGGCUUGAACUCACAACACUGUAAUCAAGAGUAGCUUGCUUGGGGUGCCUGGGUGGCUCAGUCAGUUCAGCAUCUGCUUUGGGCGGGGGUCACGAUCCUAGGAUCCUGAGAUGGAGUCCCCUGUUGGGCUCCUUGCUCAGCAGGGAGACUGCUUCUCCCUCUCCCUCUGCUCCCUGGAUCAUGUUCUCUCUCUCUCUCUUGCUCUCUCUCUCACUCUCAAAUAAAAAAAUCUUAAAAAAAAAAAAAAAA